Molecule: ribosomal RNA, 253 nt
Filed under: uncultured bacterium
Lineage: Bacteria
Description: partial 16S ribosomal RNA
Rfam family: Bacterial small subunit ribosomal RNA
Source: RNAcentral
UACAGAGGGUGCGAGCGUUGUCCGGAAUUACUGGGCGUAAAGGGCGCGUAGGCGGGAUGGCAAGUCGGUCGUGAAAUCCUUCGGCUCAACCGAAGAACGUCGGCCGAUACUGCCGUUCUUGAGGGAUGCAGAGGAGACUGGAAUUCCCGGUGUAGCGGUGAAAUGUGUAGAGAUCGGGAGGAACACCGGUGGCGAAGGCGGGUCUCUGGGCAUCUCCUGACGCUGAGGCGCGAAAGCGUGGGGAGCAAACGGG